Anguilla anguilla (European eel) is the source of this 457-nucleotide long non-coding RNA. RefSeq lists it as uncharacterized. The transcript has 2 exons. Lineage: Eukaryota; Metazoa; Chordata; Actinopteri; Anguilliformes; Anguillidae. The record is from RefSeq and is a predicted model, not a curated record.
CCGACAAGAAGUGUUUGCAUUAAUGCCAAGCGGUGUCUUGAAAUCACACUCGGAUUAAUUCUGAUCAGUACUGGCGCAUGGUCAGGUGGCUAUACGUAUUUAAAACACAUAACUAGGUAGGCUAAGCCUUGGUAAGUCUUUUAUGCAAUGCAAAAACGCUUUUAAAAAAGAGAAUUAAGGAGGAUUCUAGACCACAGAGUAUUACUACUGGAUCAUGAGUUCAGCGUGCUCUGAAAGAGGGAAAAAAGAACACUUGUCUCUCUUGGUCCAGUCUUCUGGGAGGAAAAUUCUCAGAGCAACCCAAACUGGGAAGAUGAGGUUAGAAUUUUUGCCCUGCACAAGAUGUCCCAGGUGUCUCUGCGGUGAAUCUGAAGUGUCAGGCCUUUUCCCUUGGGCGACUUGUUUUUUCUUUUAUAAACGACUGGCGACAUUGCCUAACUUUAAAACCGUUUUAAUU